Molecule: long non-coding RNA, 191 nt
Filed under: Ictidomys tridecemlineatus (thirteen-lined ground squirrel)
Lineage: Eukaryota; Metazoa; Chordata; Mammalia; Rodentia; Sciuridae
Description: lncRNA (ENSSTOG00000031922.1)
Source: RNAcentral
CUUCCAUACACUCUUCCCGCUGGAUCUGUCAGAACUGCAGGAGACCGGGGUCCCUCUGCAAAACAGUGAACAUGGAGUGCUGUUGAGUGUGUUCCAAGCUCACAUCUCUCAGCACUAUCUAAGGUGAAUCCUUGGAGCUAUGUGGAAGUCCGUGCCCUGUUGUUCAAGCCCCAGAAGAAAUGGAGAUUAAC